AUGGUAUAUAGUUAGAGGAUUUAAUUAUUUAUGUCCUUAAGCCCAAACAAUUGUAGGCUUAAGUUUUAUUUUUAUUAGAGCCCAAAUUAACUUCAGAUUUCUGUUCUGUUCUGCCACCAGCGUCUUUUCACCUCCCAAGAAAAUCUUUUAUCCCAAAUCCUAAUCUGCUAAAAUCUUUCUUCCCCUACCGAGGCAGCACCUUUUCUUCACUCCUUCACUCCUUAAAACUCUCUUUCAAGAACAUUCCCUGUCCUUUUCCAUCUCUAAUCUGCAAAAUCUGCCAUUAAAAUACUUUCAAUCUCAGGAGUUCAAGACACCCAUCAAGCUUAUCAAGCCAAAUAAGCAAUACUACAGCACAUUCAUCAAAACCAAACUGAACAAGGUUCGAGUAACCAAGGGCUUUAGAGCUACAAGAAGAGCAAGCACUGAAUCUCCACAUCGAGGUUGAGCGGCAGGUGGUGUCGUGCGAGGCUGAGGGAGGAUGUUGCUGUAGUUUCGUAUAAUAAUUUCCGCUGCCAUAAUAUUCACUUAGGUGGAUAUCUUUUGAGAAUGACUCUUUAAAUAUUCUUAGCCUAAUUAUUAUGAACUCUUUUGGCAAUCGCAUUACUAGCAAUUGAACCUCGCAUAUAUGUACGUCUAGUAUGAAGUGUUAUCUUGUUGUCUCAGACCUCCGAACUUUUGAUCCUGGCUGGGAAAAUUUCUAUCCUAAUUGUUGUACUUAUUAUCCUUCAAUUGUGGCACUCCUUUAUUAACAAUGUAUUACCCGAGUCUAA
Salvia miltiorrhiza (redroot sage) is the source of this 773-nucleotide long non-coding RNA. RefSeq lists it as uncharacterized. Lineage: Eukaryota; Viridiplantae; Streptophyta; Magnoliopsida; Lamiales; Lamiaceae. The transcript is spliced from 3 exons. The record is from RefSeq and is a predicted model, not a curated record.